RNAcentral lists this ribosomal RNA (253 nucleotides) under uncultured bacterium. RNAcentral describes it as "partial 16S ribosomal RNA". It matches the Rfam family "Bacterial small subunit ribosomal RNA", at positions 524 to 776 of the family's 1533-position model. The record is from RNAcentral.
UACGGGGGGGGGAAGCGUUGUUCGGAAUUACUGGGCGUAAAGGGCUCGUAGGCGGCCAACUAAGUCAUACGUGAAAUCCCUCAGCUUAACUGGGGAACUGCGUGUGAUACUGGAUGGCUUGGAUUUGGGAGAGGGAUGCGGAAUUCCAGGUGUAGCGGUGAAAUGCGUAGAUAUCUGGAGGAACACCGGUGGCGAAGGCGGCAUCCUGGACCAUAACUGACACUGAUAAGCGAAAGCCAGGGGAGCAAACGGG